RNAcentral lists this ribosomal RNA (253 nucleotides) under uncultured bacterium. RNAcentral describes it as "partial 16S ribosomal RNA". It matches the Rfam family "Bacterial small subunit ribosomal RNA", at positions 524 to 776 of the family's 1533-position model. The record is from RNAcentral.
UACAGAGGUCCCGAGCGUUGUUCGGAUUCACUGGGCGUAAAGGGUGCGUAGGUGGCAUGGUAAGUUUGAUGUGAAAGCUCAGGGCUUAACCCUGAAAUGGCAUUGAAUACUACUGUGCUGGAGGUUUGGAGGGGGGACUGGAAUUCUUGGUGUAGCAGUGAAAUGCGUAGAUAUCAAGAGGAACACCGGUGGCGAAGGCGGCAUCCUGGACCAACACUGACACUGAGGAGCGAAAGCCAGGGGAGCAAACGGG